GGCAGCCGCGGUAAUUCCAGCUCCAAUAGCGUAUAUUAAAGUUUGUUGCAGUUAAAAAAGCUCGUAGUUGAAUUUCGGGAUUAGUACGCUGGUCAUGCCUUUGGUAUGUACUGGUGUUACUGGUUCCUACCUUCUGAAGAACCGUUAUGUCAUUAAUUUGGUGUGGCGGGGAAUCAGGACUGUUACUUUGAAAAAAUUAGAGUGUUUAAAGCAGGCUCGCGCUUGAAUACAUUAGCAUGGAAUAAUGAAAUAGGACGUUGAUCCUAUUUUGUUGGUUUCUAGGAUUGACGUAAUGAUUAAUAGGGAUAGUUGGGGGGCAUUAGUAUUCAAUUGUCAGAGGUGAAAUUCUUGGAUUUAUUGAAGACUAACUACUGCGAAAAGCAUUUGCCAAGGAUGUUUUCAUUAAUCAAGAACGAAAGUUAGGGGAUCGAAGACGAUCAGAUACCGUCGUAGUCUUAACCAUAAACUAUGCCGACUAGGGAUCGGAUGAUGUUUAAUUUUUUUAAUGACUCAUUUCGGC
This 520-nucleotide ribosomal RNA is filed under the name uncultured Glomus. Its description in RNAcentral is "SSU rRNA". It matches the Rfam family "Eukaryotic small subunit ribosomal RNA", at positions 569 to 1084 of the family's 1831-position model. The record is from RNAcentral. Lineage: Eukaryota; Fungi; Glomeromycota; Glomeromycetes; Glomerales; Glomeraceae.